UACGAAGGGUGCAAGCGUUACUCGGAAUUACUGGGCGUAAAGCGUGCGUAGGUGGUUCGUUAAGUCUGAUGUGAAAGCCCUGGGCUCAACCUGGGAGUGGCAUUGGAUACUGGCGACCUAGAGUGCGGUAGAGGGGUGUGGAAUUCCCGGUGUAGCAGUGAAAUGCGUAGAUAUCGGGAGGAACAUCUGUGGCGAAGGCGACACCCUGGACCAGCACUGACACUGAGGCACGAAAGCGUGGGGAGCAAACAGG
Molecule: ribosomal RNA, 253 nt
Filed under: uncultured bacterium
Lineage: Bacteria
Description: partial 16S ribosomal RNA
Rfam family: Bacterial small subunit ribosomal RNA
Source: RNAcentral